This 887-nucleotide long non-coding RNA is filed under the name Mus musculus (house mouse). Its description in RNAcentral is "lincRNA-EC94". The record is from RNAcentral. Lineage: Eukaryota; Metazoa; Chordata; Mammalia; Rodentia; Muridae.
CCACCUUUUACCAAGUAUAAUCUGCUCUAUGACUCUCCCUAGCCGUAUCCCAGAUUAAUUGGGUCAGAUGCUGGGGUGAGGCCAGCAGUGUGUGACGAGCCUUGGUGGAGAGAAAGAAGACUGUGGCCUUCAGGCACAAAGGCAGGAAUAUUGCAACCCCCAUUCCGUACAAGCAGCAGCCCCCACUAAUGACAAUGGGUUCCACGAAAGCCACACUCUGGAAGAGGUACCCAAGUGGGGCUAGCCACAGAGCUGGAAGACUGUCUCAAAACCACACAAGGCCGUAUGAUUCUAGAAUGCAAGUGGUAGCUGUUCGCCCAUGUAGUUCGCCCAUGUUCGUCCUUGCAGUUCCAACUCAUCUUCAGCUCUACUGAAAGCUGACAGCUCAGUCUUGAAAACCCAAAGCUCUGCUCCUGCUAUCAGGAGGAUUCCUGCAUCCAUUUAUUGUAUCCUCCAUUCCAGACUGGACUCCUAAACCAUGCCACGCCCUAUCUGGGCACCAGGGCUAACAAGAUGCAGAACUCUCCGCUCUCUCCAGCACCAUGUCUGCUUGCACGCUGCCAUGCUUCUCCCCAUGGUGAUAAUGGACUGAACCUCUGAAACUGGCCCAAGAGGACAUUCAGUCCCAAGACGUGUUCAUGGGCAAAGCUUGCCAAUGUUGCAAGAAGCGGCUGCUGUAAGCAGGCAGGCUGCAGACCUUUGCACACGGCACUGCCUCUCAUAGGCAGGCAACUUAAGUGCUCACUGCCUAUGGGAAGCUGUGCUGUGCUGUCUGGAGCUGGCUGAGGCAAGGCACGUGAGCUUGAGUGGAGCACGUGCAGGGCCACUGUCAUUAUGGAAAUCCUGACUCUGAAGGCUAAUUCUGCGUCUAAAUGAGUUGAAAUGAA